AUGAUCCUGUGGCUAAACUUGUUGUCCCUGCUAGCAGUCCUCAGAGGUGUCCUGUCAGAGGCCCAGUUGGUGGAGUCCGGAGGGGACGUGAGGAGGCCUGGAGAGUCCCUCCGCCUCACCUGCCAAGGCUCUGGGUUCAGCUUCAGCAGCUAUGAGAUGCACUGGGUGAGGCAGGCCCCUGGAAAAGGACUGGAAUGGGUGGCAUUGAUAACCUCUGGUUCCAGUACUUACUACUCGGACAAAGUCAAGGGACGCUUCACCAUCUCCAGGGACAACUCCAAAAGCCAACUCUAUCUGCAAAUGAACAGCCUGAAACUGGAGGACACGGCAGUCUAUUACUGUGCAAGACACACAGUGAGAGGAAAUUAUUAUUAUUAUUAUUUCAAUUUGUAUGGCUGCUCAUUUUUCCAAAUUUACUCUGGGGAACUAGCAACUGAUAAAAACACAACUCAAAAUACCAACCCAAAACAAAGGUAA
Non-coding RNA from Candoia aspera, 477 nucleotides. Lineage: Eukaryota; Metazoa; Chordata; Lepidosauria; Squamata; Candoiidae. The record is from the annotation of a RefSeq genome assembly.